GGUUGGUCCCAGUGCAGUGGUAUUUACAACUAAGGGAUCACAACCAGUUACAGGCUUAUUUCUUCCUUCUCCACUCUCAUUGCUUCACUUGACUAGCCUGGA
Molecule: unclassified non-coding RNA, 102 nt
Organism: Cercocebus atys (sooty mangabey)
Lineage: Eukaryota; Metazoa; Chordata; Mammalia; Primates; Cercopithecidae
Rfam family: Y RNA
About the family: Y RNAs are components of the Ro ribonucleoprotein particle (Ro RNP), in association with Ro60 and La proteins. The Y RNAs and Ro60 and La proteins are well conserved, but the function of the Ro RNP is not known.
Source: Ensembl